This is a long non-coding RNA of Peromyscus maniculatus bairdii (prairie deer mouse), 1354 nucleotides long. RefSeq lists it as uncharacterized. The record is from RefSeq and is a predicted model, not a curated record. NCBI's taxonomy places the organism in Eukaryota, Metazoa, Chordata, Mammalia, Rodentia, Cricetidae.
AGUUUCACCUGUUGGUUCUAAUGGCAAAGGAUUCAGGAAAGAUGCUUGUCAAGGGAAGUCAAACCUCGAGCGGGCAUCUCCGAUAGGCACUGAUGCUGCUCAGGCUCCUCACUCCAUCCUUACAGCAAGUGGGGUUAUUGUGGUGAUAAAGGAUAAAUAAAACGGGAGCAGACUGUGAGAAGUUAACGUGGGAAAAGGGCCUUCUGGGCUUCCGUAAGUCAUGUUCCAAGCAGCCGUAGCUGAGUCAGAGCUGGCCGUUCAAUGUGUGGCAGAAACCGGUCUCAAGAUGAGGAGAGACUGCUCCUUUUCAGUCCGCCACUGAUGAGCCUUGUGACCUGGGACAGACAACUCAUGUACCUUCUCCAGUUUAGUUUCCAGAGAUGAGGGUCCCAGGAUCUUUCCAUCAGCUUCCCAGUAUGGAAAUCAAUAGUUGCGAGAUAUUAUAGUGUUCAGUCGACUUAGUUCUCAUAUGGCAGCUGUCUUCCUUCUUAAAAGAGAAGUCUCGGGGCUGGGGGGCUCAGGACAUCUGCUUCUUAAUUAAGAUUGUGUGGAUCAAGGGAGCCCCACCCCAGCUGUCUUGAUGACAAACACCCAAAGCAGGAGCUAGUAAGGACCAACCACAUGCUCUAGAACCAGGCAUGGAGACACACACACCUGCAAUCCCUCUGCCUCUAGGAAGGCAGAGACAGGAGGAUUGUGAGUUCAAGGCCUGCGUGGACUUCAUAGUGAGACCCAACUCAAACAAGAGACAAGAGCAAAAAGAAACUGAAAACUCAGCUUCUACAGGCAAGUUCCAGCCUGGAAUUCUACCGUGACAUCACUCAAUACAGUUGGAAUGGCAUGGUCUCAGAACGGCAUCCAUAGUUUUUGGCCCCACAGCCUUGCAUAUUUUCUUUGGCCCCCACCCUGUACUUUGUCUUGAGACAUAGGAACUGAGAAUUAAUUCAGCCUCGAACCUGGUAAAGUUACCACAAUAGUAAUUGCUUAUAUAUUAAUGCACCUUGCAGACUGCAAUGUGCUCUCAUGGAUGAUCAUUGCUGGCUAAAAAUAAAAUAAAAUAAAGUGAAAUUAAGGGGGAAACGAGUAAAUGGCAUUUAGCUAUUCACACACCUCCUUUUGCUGCUGAUAAAGAAGGGGAUGAAAGGACUUCUCGAUUAACAUGGAAGCCGGAGUCCUGAAAUUCUGUUCCUGGAUAUCGAUACAAAGUCAAUGCUUUUUAAAUUAAAAAUGAGAUGCUGCUACUUAUGACUUGAUAAGUUAUAAAAUGCCUCUUUCAUCCUUCCCAGUCAAUGGUCCCAGGCUCCACUGCAAUUAAAUUUCAGAUCUUCAGCUCAUACAGAUUGUAUUGGUACCU